Long non-coding RNA from Prionailurus viverrinus (fishing cat), 1011 nucleotides. RefSeq lists it as uncharacterized. The transcript is spliced from 3 exons. The record is from RefSeq and is a predicted model, not a curated record. Lineage: Eukaryota; Metazoa; Chordata; Mammalia; Carnivora; Felidae.
AAGAAAAAAGAAAGAAAAGAGAAGAAAAGCAGAGUAAUGGACGGAGGAGGACUGGCCUGGGGAGUGGAGACACCUGGCUUCUCUCUCCAACUCCACCUGUAGCUUGUUCACAGCCCCUCGGUGUCGCUAAGCAGCCUCACUCUGUAAGAGGCAAACAACCCCCUCUCACCUCCUCCAGCUGACACAAGACCAAGUGAGAGGCGUGAUGAGACCUGUUCUUCCAAGGACCAGGGGGCAGAAUCAAGAUGGGUGGAAGUUACAAGGAGGCAGAUUUCAGAUCACAAUCAGGAAGACAUUUCCAUUUACCAAAGUCCUUUCUACAGAUUCCUAAUCACCCAGAAAGCCUUCUCCCCUGGGAACUAGUCGAGCAGCAGACUGGUCAUCUGGCAGUGAUCCUGAACCCUGAGCCAUAAGGCCCCUUUGAAAUGGGACAGUCUGCAUGUUGGUUUAUGUGGAAGGGCUUUGGGAAGAAUCAAUGUGAGGCUAAUCGCUCAGGGGCUCGGACUUCUGGCUACCUUGGUCACUGCAGCAGGAGGAGAUAAAGCUGGAGGGGGGGUCAAGCACCCGCCCAGAAGUGAAUCCCGGCACUUCUGGCAUCUCACCGAACAGAAUUAGUCACGUGGCCCUGCCUAACCUCAAGGAGGUGCAUGCAGGAAGCAUAUGCAGAAAGGAGAGAAAAAUGGAUAGAGUCUGACAUUAUGAGACAACCAAAGCUGAUGGAAAAACCUAACUCUGUCUGGAGCAUUGUCAAUCUCAUGCCAGAAAGAAAAAGACAAGGCCAGUGGUGCCCUGACUUCCAGAACUCUGUACAAAAGUGACCAACGUCACUUCUUUGACUAAAGCAAGUCGUAUGGCCAUUCCAGAGGUCAACAGCAUGGGGAUACCCUUACAGAGAGGAGCAUGACAAAGGAAGAAACUGGAACUUUUGGUGAAUGAGAACCUGUCUCCACCACCUCCUCCUAGGAUGACUUCUUUCCCAGAGGUAACUGCUCUCAACCGUGCAAUCCCUUU